GAUGAACGCUGGCGGCGUGCCUAACACAUGCAAGUCGAGCGGCAGCGAGGGGUGCUUGCACCCUGUCGGCGAGCGGCGGACGGCUGAGUAACGCGUGGGAACGUGCCCCAAAGUGAGGAAUAACUGCCCGAAAGGGUAGCUAAUACCGCAUAUUAUCUUCGGAUCAAAGGAUUUAUCCGCUUUGGGAGCGGCUCGCGUCGGAUUAGGUAGUUGGUGAGGUAAUGGCUCACCAAGCCGACGAUCCGUAGCUGGUCUGAGAGGAUGACCAGCCAGACUGGAACUGAGACACGGUCCAGACUCCUACGGGAGGCAGCAGUGAGGAAUCUUCCACAAUGGGCGAAAGCCUGAUGGAGCAACGCCGCGUGCGGGACGAAGGCCUUCGGGUUGUAAACUGCUUUUAUAAGUGAGGAAUAUGACGGUAACUUAUGAAUAAGGAUCGGCUAACUACGUG
RNAcentral lists this ribosomal RNA (451 nucleotides) under uncultured bacterium. Its description in RNAcentral is "partial 16S ribosomal RNA". It matches the Rfam family "Bacterial small subunit ribosomal RNA", at positions 28 to 507 of the family's 1533-position model. The record is from RNAcentral.